Small nucleolar RNA from Bison bison bison, 87 nucleotides. NCBI's taxonomy places the organism in Eukaryota, Metazoa, Chordata, Mammalia, Artiodactyla, Bovidae. The record is from Ensembl.
AUUCAUGGUGAUGGCUGAUCAGGGCUCUCUCACUUAAACAGGCCUCUUGCUGUAGGGUUGAUGGCCAGUCCUAGUGUCUGAGUGAUU